AACGCACAUUGCGCCCGCCAGUAUUCUGGCGGGCAUGCCUGUUCGAGCGUCAUUUCAACCCUCAAGCUCUGCUUGGCGUUGGGGAUCGGCAGCCCGGCUUCGUGCCGCGCCGUCCCCCAAAUACAGUGGCGGUCACGCUGCAGCUUCCUUUGCGUAGUAGCACACCUCGCACCGGAGAGCAGCGCGGCCACGCCGUAAAACCCCCGACUUCUUGUUUUUGACCUCGAAUCAGGUAGGACUACCCGCUGAACUUAA
This 255-nucleotide unclassified non-coding RNA is filed under the name uncultured fungus. Its description in RNAcentral is "partial contains 5.8S ribosomal RNA, internal transcribed spacer 2, and large subunit ribosomal RNA". The stretch from base 1 to 52 matches the Rfam family "5.8S ribosomal RNA", at positions 103 to 154 of the family's 154-position model. Lineage: Eukaryota; Fungi. The record is from RNAcentral.